GCUUGCAAUCAGACUCGCCUUCAGUUGAUCAACCUUCCUUCUGGUUGGUGCACUCUGCUGUUGGUGGGCCAGCAUCAGUUGGGGCGGCGGGACAAAGGCAGUGGGAAUGUGGCUCGCUUCGGUGAGUGUUAUAGCCCAUUGUGUCAUGCCGCCAGCCCCGACUGAGGUCCGCGGUUCGCCUAGGAUGCUGGCUUAAUGGUUGUAAGCGA
This 209-nucleotide ribosomal RNA is filed under the name Arthrobotrys polycephala. RNAcentral describes it as "partial large subunit ribosomal RNA". The record is from RNAcentral. Lineage: Eukaryota; Fungi; Ascomycota; Orbiliomycetes; Orbiliales; Orbiliaceae.